AAACUUUCAACAACGGAUCUCUUGGCUCUCGCAUCGAUGAAGAACGCAGCA
Molecule: ribosomal RNA, 51 nt
Filed under: Tuber sp. Tsp-mg02
Lineage: Eukaryota; Fungi; Ascomycota; Pezizomycetes; Pezizales; Tuberaceae
Description: partial 5.8S ribosomal RNA
Rfam family: 5.8S ribosomal RNA
About the family: 5.8S ribosomal RNA (5.8S rRNA) is a component of the large subunit of the eukaryotic ribosome. It is transcribed by RNA polymerase I as part of the 45S precursor that also contains 18S and 28S rRNA.
Source: RNAcentral